This 72-nucleotide transfer RNA is filed under the name Geckolepis petiti. Its description in RNAcentral is "tRNA-Ile". It matches the Rfam family "tRNA". Rfam says of the family: Transfer RNA (tRNA) molecules are approximately 80 nucleotides in length. Their secondary structure includes four short double-helical elements and three loops (D, anti-codon, and T loops). The record is from RNAcentral. Lineage: Eukaryota; Metazoa; Chordata; Lepidosauria; Squamata; Gekkonidae.
GGAAGCAUGCCCGAAUGAACAAGGACUACUUUGAUAGAGUACACAAUAGAGGUUAAAAUCCCCUUACUUCCU